RNAcentral lists this ribosomal RNA (972 nucleotides) under uncultured organism. Its description in RNAcentral is "bacterial SSU rRNA". It matches the Rfam family "Bacterial small subunit ribosomal RNA", at positions 467 to 1443 of the family's 1533-position model. The record is from RNAcentral.
GCCUGAUAGUACCUCAAGAGGAAGGAACGGCAAACUCUGUGCCAGCAGCCGCGGUAAUACAGAGGUUCCAAGCGUUGUUCGGAUUCAUUGGGCGUAAAGGGUGCGUAGGCGGCGUGGUAAGUCAAAUGUGAAAUUACGGAGCUCAACUCCGUACUGCAUUCGAUACUGCCAUGCUAGAGGACUGGAGAGGAGACUGGAAUUCACGGUGUAGCAGUGAAAUGCGUAGAUAUCGUGAGGAAGACCAGUGGCGAAGGCGAGUCUCUGGACAGCUCCUGACGCUGAGGCACGAAGGCCAGGGUAGCGAACGGGAUUAGAUACCCCGGUAGUCCUGGCAGUAAACGUUGCACGUUUGGUGUGGGAGGAUUCGACCCCUUCCGUGCCGGAGCUAACGCGUUAAACGUGCCGCCUGGGGAGUACGGUCGCAAGAUUAAAACUCAAAGAAAUUGACGGGGGCCCGCACAAGCGGUGGAGUAUGUGGCUUAAUUCGAUGCAACGCGAAGAACCUUACCCAGCCUUGACAUGCAUUUCUAAACCGGUGAAAGCCGGCGAGUCUUCGGACAACUUGCACAGGUGCUGCAUGGCUGUCGUCAGCUCGUGUCGUGAGAUGUUGGGUUAAGUCCCGCAACGAGCGCAACCCCUGUGAACUGUUGCUAUCCUUUUGGAGCACUCUGUUCAGACUGCCCUGUCAAACGGGGAGGAAGGUGGGGACGACGUCAAGUCUGUAUGGCCCUUAUGGCUGGGGCUGCACACGUACUACAAUGCCCAGUACAAUGUGAACCGAAACCGCGAGGUGGAGGAAAUCGAUAAAACUGGGCCCAGUUCGGAUUGGAGGCUGCAACUCGCCUCCAUGAAGCCGGAAUCGCUAGUAAUGGCGCAUCAGCUACGGCGCCGUGAAUACGUUCCCGGGCCUUGUACACACCGCCCGUCACAUCAUGGAAGUCGCUUGUACCCGAAGCAUUCGCGCCAACCGCA